RNAcentral lists this ribosomal RNA (443 nucleotides) under uncultured bacterium. RNAcentral's name for it is "partial 16S ribosomal RNA". It matches the Rfam family "Bacterial small subunit ribosomal RNA", at positions 338 to 795 of the family's 1533-position model. The record is from RNAcentral.
CCUACGGGUGGCAGCAGUGGGGAAUAUUGGGCAAUGGAGGCAACUCUGACCCAGCAACGCCGCGUGAAUGAUGAAGGUCUUCGGAUUGUAAAGUUCUGUGAUGGGGGAUGAACACAAUGACGGUACCCCAAUAGCAAGCCACGGCUAACUACGUGCCAGCAGCCGCGGUAAUACGUAGGGGGCAAGCGUUAUCCGGAAUGACUGGGCGUAAAGGGUGAGUAGGUGGUUUAGUAAGUUGGCGGUGUAAUUCCGGGGCUCAACCUCGGCGCUACAGCCAAAACUAUUAGACUAGAGUGCAGGAGGGGUAAGUGGAAUUCGUGGUGUAGCGGUGAAAUGCGUAGAUAUUAGGAGGAACACCAGUGGCGAAGGCGGCUUACUGGACUGUAACUGACGUUGAGGCUCGAAAGCGUGGGGAGCAAACAGGAUUAGAUACCCGGGUAGUC